This 377-nucleotide small RNA is filed under the name Arabidopsis thaliana (thale cress). Its description in RNAcentral is "ATSL269840". The record is from RNAcentral. Lineage: Eukaryota; Viridiplantae; Streptophyta; Magnoliopsida; Brassicales; Brassicaceae.
UCUUAACUCUAGGAGAAGCUUUCUCAACACUUUGAUACAUCUAGCGGAUUUGGAUUUCUUUAACAACUAAGGUUCCUGUUUUUAACAUUUUAAAACCAAGGGCUUUUGCCCAUCUCCAAUAGCUAACAAGAACUCUUUCUUUUCUUUACAAAUCCCAAAACUUUUACUAGACUUUUUCUGCUUCUUUACCUUACUUCACCUAGAGUCUUUUACCUUUUCUCAUCAAUGAAUCAACCCUUUUUUUUUUUUUAAAACACAUCCCAACCCAAAGUAUAAGCGCCCACCUAGUCCUAUCUAGUCCGAAAAAUGCGAACUAGAACUACAUGAGACACUAUCUCUGUCGUUACGAACCUAACACUUUCUACCAAGCUUAAUCG